GGGAAAUUUUCCGCAAUGGGUGAAAGCCUGACGGAGCAACGCCGCGUGAGGGACGAAGGCCUCUGGGCUGUAAACCUCUUUUCUCAAGGAAGAAGAUAUGACGGUACUUGAGGAAUAAGCCACGGCUAAUUCCGUGCCAGCAGCCGCGGUAAUACGGGAGUGGCCAGCGUUAUCCGGAAUUAUUGGGCGUAAAGCGUCCGCAGGCGGCUUUUCAAGUCUGCUGUUAAAGCGUGGAGCUUAACUCCAUCAUGGCAGUGGAAACUGAAAGGCUUGAGUAUGGUAGGGGCAGAGGGAAUUCCCGGUGUAGCGGUGAAAUGCGUAGAUAUCGGGGAAGAACACCAGUGGGCGAAGGCGCUCUGCUGGGGCCUUUACUGACGCUCAUGGACGAAAGCCAGGGAAGCGAAAGGGAAUAAAUUACCCCUGUAAUCC
This 429-nucleotide ribosomal RNA is filed under the name uncultured cyanobacterium. RNAcentral describes it as "bacterial SSU rRNA". It matches the Rfam family "Bacterial small subunit ribosomal RNA", at positions 356 to 796 of the family's 1533-position model. Lineage: Bacteria; Bacillati; Cyanobacteriota. The record is from RNAcentral.